Molecule: ribosomal RNA, 484 nt
Filed under: uncultured bacterium
Lineage: Bacteria
Description: partial 16S ribosomal RNA
Rfam family: Bacterial small subunit ribosomal RNA
Source: RNAcentral
AUUGAACGCUGGCGGCAGGCCUAACACAUGCAAGUCGAGCGGCAGAAGGGAGCUUGCUCCUGGAUUCAGCGGCGGACGGGUGAGUAAUGCCUAGGAAUCUGCCUGGUAGUGGGGGAUAACGUCCGGACACGGGCGCUAAUACCGCAUAAGUCCUGAGGGAGAAAGUGGGGGAUCUUCGGACCUCACGCUAUCAGACGAGCCUAGGUCGGAUUAGCUAGUUGGGGGGGUAAAGGCCUACCAAGGCGACGAUCCGUAGCUGGUCUGAGAGGAUGAUCAGUCACACUGGAACUGAGACACGGUCCAGACUCCUACGGGAGGCAGCAGUGGGGAAUAUUGGACAAUGGGCGAAAGCCUGAUCCAGCCAUGCCGCGUGUGUGAAGAAGGUCUUCGGAUUGUAAAGCACUUUAAGUUGGGAGGAAGGGCAGUAAGUUAAUACCUUGCUGUUUUGACGUUACCAACAGAAUAAGCACCGGCUAACUUCGUG